GAUCUAUCGCAGAUGGCAGUGCACGUUUCCGUGCGUGCAUGCCGUGAAAUUUCGUGUCUUUUUCCGAGCGGUACGCUAACCGGUCAGAAUGACGGAAGGUACAGCUACCAUCAGAACGAGAAAGUUCAUGACCAAUCGGCUCCUAUGCCGAAAACAAAUGGUCGUAGAUGUAAUCCAUCCUGGACAACCAUCGGUUCGUAAGACUGAGAUACGUGAGAAACUAGCUAAGAUGUAUAAAGUGACCCCAGACGUCGUCUUUGUGUUUGGCUUUCAAACCAACUUCGGCGGUGGUAAAUCUACUGGGUUCGCGCUUAUCUACGACACCUUGGACUUUGCAAAGAAAUUCGAACCUAAAUACAGGUUAGCAAGGCAUGGUCUCUUCGAGAAACAGAAACAAACCAGGAAACAGCGUAAAGAACGCAAGAACAGAAUGAAGAAAGUUAGGGGUACUAAGAAGAGUAAAGUUGGAGCAGCGUCUAAAAAGGGAAGGAAAUAGAGAAAUGAUCAUCAUUUGUACUACAGACUUCUGGAGGGGCAAUAUCUUGUUGCUUAAUCAGGUAAAAGAAGCCAUCUUGAAGACCACGAUCAUCGACGUAAAAAUUAUUAUAUUUUACUAUGGAAUAGCGCUGUAAUUAUAAUAAAUUUUACGGAAUAAACGUGUAUUCUUCUUGAUGAAAA
RNA transcript from Temnothorax curvispinosus, 678 nucleotides. It is a transcript of the gene named 40S ribosomal protein S24, with no coding region annotated. The transcript has 5 exons. The record is from RefSeq and is a predicted model, not a curated record. NCBI's taxonomy places the organism in Eukaryota, Metazoa, Arthropoda, Insecta, Hymenoptera, Formicidae.